RNAcentral lists this ribosomal RNA (634 nucleotides) under uncultured organism. RNAcentral's name for it is "bacterial SSU rRNA". It matches the Rfam family "Bacterial small subunit ribosomal RNA", at positions 34 to 651 of the family's 1533-position model. The record is from RNAcentral.
CGCUGGCGGCGUGCUUACACAUGCAGUCGAACGAGAAAGGGAUGCUUGCAAUCCUGAGUAGAGUGGGCACGGGUGAGUACACGUAAUAUCUGCUUCAAGCCUGGGAUAACUAUCCGAAAGGAUAGCUAAUACCGGAUAAAGUCGAUUACACAAGUAGACCGAUGAAAGAUUGCCUCUUCUUGAAAGCAAUUGUNUGGGGAUGAGUUUGCGUACCAUUAGCUGGUUGGUGGGGUAAAGGCCUACCAAGGCUGCGAUGGUUAGCUGGUCUGAGAGGAUGAUCAGUCACACUGGAACUGGAACACGGUCCAGACUCCUACGGGAGGCAGCAGUGAGGAAUUUUGCGCAAUGGGGGCAACCCUGACGCAGCAACGCCGCGUGAGUGAAGAAGGCCUUUGGGUCGUAAAGCUCUGUCAACAAGGAAGAAAUUAGGAUCUAUUAAUAGUGGGUUCUAUUGACGGUACUUGUGGAGGAAGCGCCGGCUAACUCCGUGCCAGCAGCCGCGGUAACACGGGGGGCGCAAGCGUUAUUCGGAAUUAUUGGGCGUAAAGGGCGCGCAGGCGGUCUUGUCCGUCAGGUGUGAAAGCCCGGGGCUCAACCCCGGAGGUGCACUUGAAACAGCACGACUUGAAUACGG